AUUAAAACACCGUUUCCCGUACGAUCACCGAAGUGAAGCAAUGUCGAGCGUGGUCAGUACCUAGAUGGGUGACCGCUUGGGAGUACUAUGUGCUGCAAG
Non-coding RNA from Acanthosepion pharaonis, 99 nucleotides. The record is from the annotation of a GenBank genome assembly. NCBI's taxonomy places the organism in Eukaryota, Metazoa, Mollusca, Cephalopoda, Sepiida, Sepiidae.